Molecule: ribosomal RNA, 481 nt
Filed under: uncultured Streptomyces sp.
Lineage: Bacteria; Bacillati; Actinomycetota; Actinomycetes; Kitasatosporales; Streptomycetaceae
Description: bacterial SSU rRNA
Rfam family: Bacterial small subunit ribosomal RNA
Source: RNAcentral
UCCUACGGGAGGCAGCAGUGGGGAAUAUUGCACAAUGGGCGAAAGCCUGAUGCAGCGACGCCGCGUGAGGGAUGACGGCCUUCGGGUUGUAAACCUCUUUCAGCAGGGAAGAAGCGAAAGUGACGGUACCUGCAGAAGAAGCGCCGGCUAACUACGUGCCAGCAGCCGCGGUAAUACGUAGGGCGCAAGCGUUGUCCGGAAUUAUUGGGCGUAAAGAGCUCGUAGGCGGCUUGUCACGUCGGGUGUGAAAGCCCGGGGCUUAACCCCGGGUCUGCAUUCGAUACGGGCUAGCUAGAGUGUGGUAGGGGAGAUCGGAAUUCCUGGUGUAGCGGUGAAAUGCGCAGAUAUCAGGAGGAACACCGGUGGCGAAGGCGGAUCUCUGGGCCAUUACUGACGCUGAGGAGCGAAAGCGUGGGGAGCGAACAGGAUUAGAUACCCUGGUAGUCCACGCCGUAAACGGUGGGAACUAGGUGUUGGCGAC